CUCUUUGACCAGCUGUUGACGCGGAGUUUAAGGGUGCUACGUGCUUUCCAAGGCAACAGAGAGAAUUAGUGCACAGAUGUUGCAGAGAAAUGGCAAACAAGAAAAAACAGGCGUGAUCUUUCUGGUGUAUGCUCAUGUUAAAAAGACUUUACAUGAAAAAGAGAGAGAAGGAGGCGAUGUCGUUAAGGAGUUGAAGAAGGAAAUAGAAACGGGAUGUAAGUUUUUAUGCAGAGAGGCGGGAAGGAAGUGAAAUGAAGUUGGUCACUAGAGGGUAAAAUAAGCUUUCAGUAACCAGGUCAAGCGUGCACCUAUUGGAAUCUUGCCUGGAGAAGCUUGAAUGUUGUACGGCGGAGACAGAGACGCUGGACUCGGUGAGUUGAUCGUGUGUUUCAGAGUGAAGAUGGACUGUGGUUGACUUGGGAUCACCUUGUUGGAUUCAACAUGCAGGGGGAGCCAGGGAUCAGUCACCUCAGCGGGGACUUCCAUGCAGUGGCCUCUGCAGCGAAGUUACUAAACUCUCAGACAGAUCUUCCAUAAAGAACCAAAAAGGUAAAACAUUCACAUGUGUGUUUCUUGCUCCCUGCAGACGCAGUCAACCUCAUGAGCAGAUGUUUUGGAGGAUUUCAAGCAAAGCAUUCUGGGGGACUUCUCCUGGCAUCACUCUGACCUAGAUGAUAUAGUGUGCUCAUAUCCUGGCAUGUCUACAAAGAACAUGCACAUCAGCAUCACCGGCGCUGAUGACCGAAAGUGAGUUAAGUGGGAUUUGGGGAGUUUUUUGUGAGAAUCUCAUGCCUUAUUUCCACUUUGUUACUUAUCUUUUACUCCAUCGCUUUCAAGGCUCUCAUUAAAUUGGCAGGGGAUUUCCUCAUGCUACUUCUCGUUUGGUUUUAUAGUCGGAGGACAGAUUUGAGACAAUACUCAAACAAUCAUAACAAGCUACUGUGGAAAGAUAAAUGAGUCUUUCGUUUAGAGGAUGGGGAAAUGGAUUUGUGUGACUUUGAGAUGGUUAACUCUUUUAUAUAUACAAAAAAGCCCUGAAACUAGUAUGACACUCAGUAGAGCGCACACCACACCAUCUGGAUUUUUAUUUGGACCUGCACCAAAUUGCUUUAAUUGCCUAAAACAUGUCAGAUUUUCUUUCAUCAAGACCCAAUAAUUAUUCUCUUGGAAACCAAUGAAAAUAUAGAAAAACGUCCCAUUUUACAAUGUUCAGGAAAAUUAUUCCUGGAUUAACCCCCUGAUCCAGAUCUGCACCAAAAUGUAUUACAUCCUCCAUUGACCCACAGAGCACACUACCAUCAAGUUUCAUGGAAUCCAUUCAGCUGUUUUUGUUUAAUCUUGUUCACAAUCCAAUCAACAAACAAACAGACAGGGGUGAAAACAUAAGAUCCUUGGUGGAGGUAAUAAUCUACUGUGGAGAAAAAUAUGUUGUGUCCAUUGUCUAACGGAUCUAAAGGAUCAACACUGUCACAUUAUCACAACAUUAUUAUCACUUGGUGACAGACUUGUGUAAUCACCUGAACACAUGGAAUCCAUAUGAUGAGGAAAUGCCUCAGAGGCAGCUGACGUGCCUCUCCGAGGUGUCUGUACAUAUAUCUCACUUCUGUUUGAUGGAGCUUUGUUUAAUUUUCUUUUCCUCUGACUUUGCAGUAAAACACUGAUAUUGUGUAAAAGGCCCCUGGCUUCAGAGUAGAGAGUGGUGCGUGUACUGCCUCUUUUUAUUUUUUUUGAACAGUGAGUGUUUCAGCAACAUGACUGGAAUCUCAAUGCUUGUUUUCUUAACCAAAGCCCCCUGUUUGUAUUUCAGCGCCUCCCCUGUCCCAUAUCUUCUUCUAUCUUCUCCUUCUGCUCCCAUCUGAAGGACUCUUCAAAUAACCUUUGACCCCAGCUGGAUUAAAGGCAACUGGCUGUGUGCAGCUGUUUAUUCUCUCAUCUGAACCCCCCCACCCCCCCUGUUCUGUUUCUAUUCAUCGAUUCUCUGGGCCUCAAGAGAACAGGGAGAAUGUCAUCACACUAUCUUUGCCUUCCUACAUAAUCAGUGCCUCGGCCUCCAGAUCUCUUAUUUAUUUUGACAUGUAUUUCUCAAAUUCAACCCCCCUAAGGUAAAUCAUCAUAAAAAUCCCUACAUUCACUCAUCUGUGUUUCAGGGGAAAAUAUCUCUGUUUCAAGGAAUUCAUAUCAUGCAUAUCCUGCAUUUCCUGCAAUUGUGAAAUAUGAAACUAAAAGCAGGAUGUGACAGUAUGUGGAAAUUACAGUGUUCAGUCUUGUAUUAUUCCUGAUAGUCAGAGGUGUGUUAUUGAUGCAGGAAUGUUCUUGGGAAGUCAACAGUUUUAUUUUUACAAUAAAACAAUACCCACCCACAUACACACCCACCCACGUACACUAACAAUGCAAUGUAAAGUUAAUGAGCUUGUGUAUCUUAAAGAAAAACACAAGAGCUGUGUCUCUGAAUCACUGUCACAUCAAAAAUGGUCCAGAAGAACAUUCUGUGUGAAAUAUGCAGACGUGGAGCUGGGAGAGCUAAAUACACACAAUCUGUCUCGAGAUGUGGGUGUGUGGGUGCGAAUGCGCUGGCGACCUUACAGUGUGGGCAUGUUAUAAAGCCUGCCAGCACGCAUAGAGAACAGUUUAGCUUGGCCUGAUUGAGAGAAGGAAUUUGAUACCAUCACUGUCACCAGGUUUUUCCUUUAAUUUUAACGUUUUUUUACAGUAGUAAAGGAAACAGUGCUUUAUGUAAAUAUCUGUUUUAAUCCCAUGAUGGAAUAAUAUGUGCAUAUGUACAUUUUAAAUCUAAAAUGUGUGUAUAUAUGUUGAAUAUAAGUAAGAAUUAGGAUUCGCAUUAUGCACCAGCUGAGCCACAUCACAGUAACAACUGCAUCAUUGGGAGCAUGAGAAGAAAACAGGACAUUUUAUAUUGUAGUUGUCUUAUCUAAUCUACUGCUGGUAAAUUUCAACUGUAGCAAACUAACCAACAUAGUUUAAAAGUAGUUAAAAGUUAGGAAAUAGUUUCCUUAUAUUGUUGUGUUUCAGACAUAUGGGUCUGAUUUGUGAUAUAAUUUAGAAUAUCUUUGUUAUUAUUAUUAGUAUUAUUAUUAUUCUGUGUUUCUCUUGUUUGUUAGUGACUAACAUUACAUCAGUUAUACAUGUACACACAGGCAUAAAAGAGACAUAUAUAUAUAUAUAUAUAAAUAUAUCUGACAUAUUUUCAUAUGUAAUGAGCAUGAAAUAAUUUCCAGUGGUCUAAAUGUUAACUUAUUGAUCAACUAAUACAAUCUAAUAUAAUAUUACAUCAUAUUUGAUUAUAUUAUGUUAUAUAUUAUAUAUUUUGAUUAGCGUGAUCACAUGUGCUGAAAACUGCAGGCUAUGUAACACUGUCUGACUCAUGAA
Long non-coding RNA from Hippoglossus stenolepis (Pacific halibut), 3387 nucleotides. RefSeq lists it as uncharacterized. The record is from RefSeq and is a predicted model, not a curated record. The transcript is spliced from 3 exons. NCBI's taxonomy places the organism in Eukaryota, Metazoa, Chordata, Actinopteri, Pleuronectiformes, Pleuronectidae.